GAAAGAUCUCUUUCUGAUUAUUGCUCCUUGUGGAAUUUAUUGCUAGCCUAUAACAUUGGAUGUUUGACUUUCUUACUCAUUUGCUACUGGAGUGGAGAUGGAUUUGGUCACCUCCGAGAGCAAUGCCAACAUGAACGCAUGAAAAAGCAGACAAGGGAAAGCCAGUGGGCAUCAAGCUUGUGUGUACGUGUGUGACAGAGGAACCAGAGCAUGAAGGCAAUAUGGGAAAGAAACAAGAAUCCAGAGCUUUGUGUCCAGCCAUGAUUGAGUAACUGCAGAACCACAAACUAAGCUUCCAUCUAUUGCAAAUCCUGUUCCUGUUUUAAUUUAAUCUAUGUGAACUGUAAACUUUCUGUAACUCCUGAAUCUGUUUUUACAACCCUAAAUAGAUGGCUGAAAUUACUUUCAGUUGGGUUAUAGAAAAAGGUGUCUAGUAGUAGACAUGUACUGGAUGGGAAAAAAUAUCCAAAAAGGGAAGAAAAGUUAAUAUAAAUAUCUGAUUAAGUAGUUGCUGAGUAUCUCACUUUCGUUGUUAGCAGGAAAGAAACAAAAGCUGCAAAAGCAUGAACAAGUAAUUUGCUUCCCAAAUGGAUAUCCAAAUACAUUGCCACCACUCCUUUCCUCUUUCAGCUUUCUGUCCAAUGACUCUUUACUAUAGAAGCAUAUGGAUUGAUAUUGUACUUGUUCUACUCUUCAAAUUUUGGCUGUAGUUAUUAAAACAAAAUUUAAAAAAGAUGAGGAGAAGAAAUCAGCUAAGACUGCUUCCUUGAAGUGGCAAACCUUCUAGUGUCUAAGGCCAACUUUCUGUUAAACAUCUCACUUUAUGUUAGGUACCAGUUAUAUAAUGCCUAAUCAGCAAAAAUUUUGGUGUGUGUGUGAAUGUGUGUGCAUGUUUAAUAAUAACAAACUUGUAUUAAAAAAGCCAAAAAGGAAUUUCUAAUAAGAAAGGAAUUGCCUGCUUUUGGAG
Lagopus muta (rock ptarmigan) is the source of this 967-nucleotide long non-coding RNA. RefSeq lists it as uncharacterized. NCBI's taxonomy places the organism in Eukaryota, Metazoa, Chordata, Aves, Galliformes, Phasianidae. The record is from RefSeq and is a predicted model, not a curated record. The transcript is spliced from 3 exons.